Molecule: long non-coding RNA, 1780 nt
Filed under: Bos grunniens (domestic yak)
Lineage: Eukaryota; Metazoa; Chordata; Mammalia; Artiodactyla; Bovidae
Description: lncRNA (ENSBGRG00000007467.1)
Source: RNAcentral
UCAAUUUCUUCAGCCAUAAAUAUUAUCUUAUUUCAGUCUGCUUAGCGCUUUCUUCUGCGGCCACAUUUGGGGAGAGAACGUUGACACACGCGUGUGCACAUGUUGCUUGUGCACAGUGCUGCUUUUUCUACGCACCGUUCAGUGUGCCGUGUAGUCUAGAAAACCAGUGUUAAGACUUAUUUUACCAAAGCACUUACUAUCAAAACUGGUGUCUAUGAUUUGAUGUCCUCUUAUUGAUCGACUUUGGAAGUCUUUUCUGACACGCUGACUAGCCAGAAAGUUUGUGUCUUUAUAGUAAAAACAACAACAAAGAAAAACCCUCUAACGUCUCUUAUUGAAUGGACUUCUUGAGCAAUAUUCUGUUUUUCAGAACAAACCAACAUAAAGAGACAGCUUUGCAAUAGUGUGCUGCGAAGCGUCGAAAAUCCUGGGUUGGAGGAACAGCAAAUCUCCAGUGGCUGAGUCAGACAAACUUCGUAAGGCCUCUCUCGCCCUUCUGCAGUAACCUCCUAACAUGCCCCAAAACAGCGCGCGUCACAGUGCAGGCAGAGCCAUUUCCUAGUUGUGGUGGCUUCCAACUCGCUCCAGUGUGUCAAGUGCGCGCUCUCACACACACACACACACACACCCCCCUUGGUUAUUUACCUGUUGUUGCCCUGGCCCAGAAGCUCCUGGCCAGGUUGAUAUUCGCAGGACUCCCUUUUCCACUUCAUGUUUCUGCUCAGAUGACAACUUCUUAGACCUUGUCAUCUGAAAAAUAGUCCAAUCCCAUCUCACCCCAAGUCUGGGCACUCCAUCUUUUACAGGUUUCAUCUUUCCUCACUCUCACUGCCUGAUAUAUUUUUUAUUCUUAUUUAUUACCUUUCUUUCCCACUAGAAUGUAAAUUCUAUGAGAGUAGGGACUUUGUUUUGUUAUAUCUCCACUGCCUCUAACAGCCCUUGGUGCACAGAAAAUAUACCAGGUAUGUAUUGAAUAACGAAAUAGGAACUUCCCCAGCAGUCCAGUGGCUGAGACUUUGCCUUCCAGUGCAGGGGUAUGAGUUUGAUCUGUGGCCAGGGAGCUAAGAUGCCACGUAAAACAGAGACAAUAUUAUAAUAAACUCAAUAAAGACUAAUAAUGGUCCAUAUAAAAAAAAAUCUUUUAGAAAAUGAAUAAAAUGAAUUAUUAUAGCCUUUGAACCCUCAGUUUCUUCAUCUGUAAUACCUCCUUUGUGGAAGGUCACAUAUAUUUGGUAUAAAGUUAACUGACCUAUGUUAUAAGCACUGAGUAGGUAGAACUAUAAUUGUGUAGAUCAGCACUGCCGAUACAAGUAUCACGCAAUUUAAUUUUAAAUUAAAAAACUAGAAGAAAAACAUUAAUUUUCAUAGUACAUUUUAUUUAAGCAACAUAUCCAAAAUAUUACCAUUUCAAUGUAUAAUGAGAGAUCUUAUAUUCUUUAUUUUAUAUUAAGUUUUUCAAAUUUGGAGUAUUGCCCACAACACUUGAGAGUGUGCCUCUCAGGUCACACUCUCAGGUCAUCUGGAGGGCUCAGAAGAAUAUCUGUAGUAACACGACUGUAGUCUGUCAACCCUUUAAUGACAGGUUUUGUCUGGAUCAUCUUUGUCAAGCACCCCCUCCCCAAUACCUUGCACAAUCCCCUCAAAACAGUAGAUGAUCAAAAAUACAUCAGUUCAGUUAGUUCAGUUCAGUCACUCAGUCGUGUCCGACUCUUUGCGACCCUAUGAAUCGCAGCACGCCAGGCCUCCCUGUCUAUCACCAACUCCCGGAGUUCACUCAGAC